Cercocebus atys (sooty mangabey) is the source of this 236-nucleotide long non-coding RNA. RefSeq lists it as uncharacterized. Lineage: Eukaryota; Metazoa; Chordata; Mammalia; Primates; Cercopithecidae. The record is from RefSeq and is a predicted model, not a curated record. The transcript has 2 exons.
CAGCAAAGAUUUCUGCCUGCUCCUUCCUCUGGAAGCUUCGUCCCAGAGGGGUACUGACCUGAUGCCAGUUGGAACUCUCCUGCAUGAGGAAGAAACUAAAUUCUAGUACUUGGAUGCCAAUUUGCUGAGGACAUGGCACUUCCUGAUAAUCAGCCUGGAAUUCCGAGCAGCAGUUUCACAACCUGUAAUUACACGUUUCUGCCCUUUGCAAUAAGGAAAUACACAGUUUCCUUUCA